UCUAUCUGCAUUUGAGGAUCAAAAUGGGAAGCAAUACAUACUAUUUGUUUUGUUUCAAGUGAAAUUUGUUCAUAUGUACAUUCAGUCUUCAAUCUAUGUUCCAGUUACUAAGGUCAAAACUUAGUGGGCUAAAAUAACAUUUAUUUUGCUUAUGAAUCUGCAUUUUGGGCAGAGUUCAAAAUAUUUAUGGUCCACUAUGGAUCAGUUAGGGUGGCUCAAAGAUGAGGGGCUAGAAUCCACUGAAGUCUUAUUGACUCACAUGUCUUGUUUCUGGCUACUGUUGGGAGUCUUGUAUCUUCUUCAUUUGAUCUCUCCAUGUGGGCAAGCUUAGGCUUCCUCAUAGCAUGAUGGCUGCUUCCAAGGGUGAGUGUUCUAAGAGCAAGAGAAGGCUGGGUGGAAACCAUAUCACCUUUUGUGAUCCAGCCUUGAAAGUCAUGGGACAUCACUUCUUCUGCCUUCUCUUUGUUGAAGCAGUCACCAAGUCUUGCUGACAUUCAAGGGAAGGAGAGGGAAGUAAACUCUGACUCUUGUUGGGAAAUGGAAGAGUUCUGGAAGAUCAUGUUGGACCAAAAAUAUCAUUGUGGCCAUUUUUAGAAAAUGUAGUUUGCCAGAGGCUGAAAAUAUAGCUGCUAGAGGCUGGUUCUCUUGGGAUUCAACUCUGUCUUUCACUGAUAGUUCUAAACUAGAUGAGACAGUUGGUUUAACAGCUUUAUGGCAAAUGAUGGAACAGGGCCACUUUUCUCUCUUCUUGGAGUUCCAAUAGGUAUUUCAGCUUUUAAAUGAAUACAGUUUUCUAAGCUUUGAGCUAUUCUCAAAUUGAGAGCAGAUUUUGGUUAAGUCAGGUUUCUAAAAAAUCCUGUAUUUGCAUUGGACACAAGUGAAAAGCCUUCAAAUGAAAAGGGGAAAUAAUUAUUCCCAAAUAUUAAUAUUAUGGGUAAAUGAAAACCAGACAUUCUAGUAAGUUUUACUACAGAUAUACAAAAUGAUUUAAAAGCCUUAAGUUGAAAAAAAUACAAAUUUAAGAAAACAUUGAAAUUGGAAUUAAACACUCUUGUUUAUUUCACUCCACUCAAUUUUAUCCUCCUUCUGCCUAUAUUUUAGACUGGCUGGCAAAAUUUCUUAAUUCUUGGUGAGGUCACAGGAUACUUGCAUGUUAGAACUGUUUUCCUUAGCCAGGUUACCUGAAUAUGAGUCUUAAGAUAUGAGUCAGAAUCUUAAGUAGAGGUCUUAAACCUUGGUGGAUUAACAUUUAUAUGAAAAUCCCUCCCACAAUCCCUGGUAGACAGUAAGUGCUCAAAUAUAUAUAGCAGCAUCCUUAUUCUCUAAGGACUUAAUGGGUCUUGACCAAUGUGAGUCCUCUUCAUACCACUAUACCCUUUUCCCAGUUUAUUAAUUUUUCCAAGUGGCACAACAAGAAACCAGAUUUGGUGAUAGCCUGUUUGAUUUUUACAAGUAGAUCCAUUUUUUUCCUCAAGCUUUAGAUAGUGAAGACUGUCUUAUAGUUGAGGGUCUCCAGUUGUAAUAGAGACCAUGGGGCCCACAAAGCCUAAAACAUAGCUUCUUACAAAGAAAGUUUGCCAACCACUGUUGUAGCUUUUCAGACAGAAUUCUGUUCAGGAAAAAAUAAAACCUAUUUUAUAAAAUGUCAUCAGUAUCACAAGGGAUAUCCUCCAAGAACUUGGAAAAAUAUAAGUCUUUUGAGAGUUGAACAAAAUAUAUGAUAUUCAUGUAGAAAAAAUCAACCAAGGAAGUACAAGCAGAGUUGUAGAUUUGAUCUAAUAACUAUUUUGAAAUAUGAGAGGUAUCAAGUAAUAUGUAAAUAUAAAGGAAUAGUUCUGUGAACAACAAAAAUAUAUAGUGUUAUUUACAUGUGAAAGCAUAUAAGAACACUUAUAAACAAUAUAAGAUACUUUAUUUAACAUAAGUGUUUGUAGGUACAUUGUUACCAACUGAAAAAUUAAAUAAAGAUAAUUAAUUUAUAAAAAAUAAUAAAUCAAAUAAAUAUGGGAAAAGGAAGUAGGCACAAUCCUGUUAAAAAGACAGAUGGCUGCCAUUUAUUCAGGUGUGGACUAACCUCAAUCACUGCCUAACAUAUCUGAGGAAAAAAUUCCCUUACCCAGAAGAGGCAAGGGCCUUAUAAAUGGAGCAUGGGCUAGGGUGUGUCACAGAAGCGAAUGUUGGUAGUAUGUGUCAUAUGGUUAGGAAUGCAUUUGGUGCAAGAGACAAACACCUGACCAUAGGUUUAAACAACCUAGGGUUUAUUUUGUUCAUUUAAUAAGAAACUGGAGGCGAGUAGUUGUAGGCAUAAUCUCAUCUGCUCAACAAUGGCAAAGUUGAUGUCUGUAAAUCCAUUGGCCCCUCAUUUGCAUUUCUACUGCAGCUCUAACCAUCACAGCUGCAUUCAAGACAGGAAGAAGGGCUGAAGAGGGAAGGGCAGGUGUCUUUCUCCUUUUAUUAAUGAGUAUAGCUUUCCCAGAAAUCUCCCUAGUAGAACUUACUUUAGGUCUCGUUGAACAGAACUGAUCACAUGGUCACUUAGUUGCAAGGAAUGCUAGAAAAGCCAGGCAUAGGAAUGAUUUGCCACCAAUGGUUUAAACCAGUAUUCCUUAAACUUGCCUGAAGAUGAUUACAGUUAUCUGGGGGCUUGUUAAAUAUGUAGAUUAUGAGGGCCUAUCUAUAGAAAUUGUGAUUGCCAGGUCUGGGAUAGGAGCCAAGGAUAUGCCUUUUACUUUUAUUUCUCUCUCCUUUUAAAUGGCCCCCAGGUGAUUUUAUUCUCAACAAAGUUUAGGAAUAUUGUAUUAGACUAGUCAUGACCUGCCUGAGUUUGGGCUUGUUGCCACCUAGAACAAAACUCUGUUUUCUUAGUGGAAGGAAUGGAUAUUGAAUAGACAACUAACAGUAUCUGCCACACCACCUAAACACAGUCCAGACCAAUAACAAUGUCUAUCCUCUUGUCAGGAGAAUGACAAAGAGUCCAUCAGAACCUGACCCCAUUGAACAUUCAAAUUUGUAACCCUCUCCUCUCUCUCUGAUUCUGUUCUCGCUGAGCAAACGUCAAUGAAUAUAGCAUCAGCAGAGUUUGGCAUGAAGGAGAGAAAGUAGAGCCAGCUCCAUGGUCACUGGAGAGUUGGUUAUUUUUUAAUUGUAAUGUAAUUCAUAUAACAUAAAUUUCACCAUUAUAAGUAUACAAUUCAGUCGCUUUUAGUAUAUGCAUAGUGUUGUGCAGUCUUUGCCACUACCUAGCUUUAGAACAUUUUCAUUGCACCCAAAAGAAACCCCCUACCCAUCAGUAGUCAUUCCUCAUUUCCCCUACUCCUGCCACCUGGCAACCACUAAUCUACUUUCUGUUUCUAUGGAUUUGCCUGUUGUGCAUAUUUCAUAUAAUGGAAUCAAACACUAUUGGAAAGUUUUUCUUCUCAUAGUUGAUGAAUAAUGGACACUGUUUCUAUGAGCUUCAAUCUUGGAGUUUGGCCAUCGUGAGACUCCUUGAGUCUUGUGAGUUCUCAGCAGGGGCUUGCUCAAGUCUCAGGACUUUGGAAGAUGGGUUGUGCUGAAGCCCAGGAGAGCACACCAAGGUUACUGUGCUCUAUCAUGGUCCCUGCAGCCUGCAAUUUGGCCUGUCUGGCCCUCACAGUGCCCUCCUCUCUUCCACUCAAGGUGGUAAUGUUGGUAGUAAUCAUGACUAUUUCAUGAAUCCUUGCUUUGUGCCAGGCACUGUGAUGGGCAUCAUUGUGUUUCAUUUUCACAGUGUCCCUGUGAGGUAGAUAAUAUUAUCUGUAUCUUAAUAAAAAGGGAGAAUGUACUCACUGUCUGUCAGAGGAGCCAGGAUUUGAGGUUAGAUUUGUGUGACUUCAUUCAUGGAUUCAAUGAGCAUUUCUUGACUAUGUUCUGUGUUUCAGACUCUGUGCUGGUCUCUGAGGAUAAAGCAGUGAAUAAGUGAUUGAGGUGACAGGCCUCAAUCAUCUUGAAACAGGAUAGACAAACAUGAAACAAAUAAUCAUAUAUUUAUUUUGUUUCAGAUAAUCCUACAAAGUGAAAGUUAAGGAGCCUGUGCAAGGGUAUAUUUGGGAAGUCUAAACAAGUCUAAGAGAUGAGGCAAAGAUUUCCAGAACUUGGGUUUAAACUGAAAACUGGUAGAUGAAGAGGAAAAGCCAGGUGGAGGAAAAGCAGGAAAGAGCAUCCCAGGAUUUCAAGCUUUAUCCCAAAGGCAAUGGGAAGGCACUGAUAAGUUUUAAGCAAUACAGUGUCAUGAUCAGAUUUAGUUUUAGAAACUGAUUACUCUGGAAAAUGAUUGGAAGAGAGUGAGGGAAGUGACAGGAAGGCCAGUAAAUGAGCUGCUACAGUUGUUGAGGUAAGAAUGAUGGUAGCUUGGACCAGAAUAGUCAGCGUAGAUUACUGGAAAAAUAUUAAGGAUGUAGAAGUGGAAGGACACAGUUGAUUGGAUAUGAAGUUGAGGCAGUGAGAGAUGUCAAGAAUAGUUCCCAGGUUGUUGACAUGGGCAGUUGUGGCAAUGGAUCCCCAUUUGUACUCGUAGAGCACUCUGGAGAAGGAGCAGGUUUGUGGGGUGUAUUUUUGCUUUCAGUUUCAGACUUCUAAAAAAAUGAACAAAUUUUAAAGAUUCUAUUUAACUCAUGAGAAAACAAGUAGCUGUUGAAACCAGCUCAAAAGAGAAUCCAAAGAGCAGACAUAGGAAUAUUGACUAGGGAUAUUGAAAUGAAUAUAUAAUGGAAGUAAAACUGGUUUUAUUACAGCGUGAGAGGUGGGACAAUUGAACCUCUACUGUAAAAGACAUUCAGCAUGUAUAUCAGUGAUGUACAAUGUACAGAGGGAUGUAAACAAGCUUAUUAUAGGCAAUAUAAUACUAGAAUCAGAGAACCUGGAGUAGUAUCCUGAAGACAGGGCAAUGUUUCCAUUGAAACACAUUUUUUUUUCCUAGAGUGUUGGAGUCAAGUAGACAUUAGCUUUCUAAAAAAGAGGGUCCAGUCAUUAGGGUGACCAGAUUCCUAUCAGAGACAUUUCUAGCUCAGGCUUGGUCAGGGCUCAAUGGAUAUUGAUAACAUCACAAAGACUAGGUUGUCACAAAGGCCACUCCCUGACCAAUGAGGGGCUGGAGCACAGGGAUACAGUGAAUGAAAACAAACAAACAAACAAACAAACAAACAAAACCACUUGGUAUCUUGAGAAGCUCAGGCCAGAAGGAAAAUCAGUGUAGUUCCCAGUUAUCCACAUGGACCUCCUCCUGUGAGACGUCACUAUGCCCAGUGCCUGAGCUUGGCUACUCCCGUUUUCCUCACUGGAAUUCUGGAGUACCUGACGGCCAACAUCCUGGAGCUGGCAGGCAAGGAGGCCGACAACAACCGCAGGGUACGCAUCACCCCCAAACACGUGGAGAGGGCAAUGGACCAGAACCAGCAGCUCAGCCUCCUCUUUGAGGACGACACCCACUCUCAGGUUGAUGAGAUGCCCCAACUCAGGAAGAAGUAGAGAUGCCUGGGUCUCAGAGCCCGGCAGGCCCUCAUCAACAGCCCCAUCCAGCCCCCAAAACUGCCAUAGAAAGGGAGCUCAGGCUGCUACCAUCAGCCCAUGCUAUUAAAGUGUUUAAAUCUAUGACAGUG
Non-coding RNA from Microcebus murinus (gray mouse lemur), 5615 nucleotides. NCBI's taxonomy places the organism in Eukaryota, Metazoa, Chordata, Mammalia, Primates, Cheirogaleidae. The record is from RefSeq and is a predicted model, not a curated record.